Poecilia latipinna (sailfin molly) is the source of this 614-nucleotide long non-coding RNA. RefSeq lists it as uncharacterized. NCBI's taxonomy places the organism in Eukaryota, Metazoa, Chordata, Actinopteri, Cyprinodontiformes, Poeciliidae. The transcript has 2 exons. The record is from RefSeq and is a predicted model, not a curated record.
AGUCCGGGCUGCCCCGGGAUGGGGAGCCUCCACAGGAGCCCACGUAGGAGAUGACGCCCCCUGCUGGAGGACAGAGACCUGCAGAGGCUACAUGUAAAUAAAGACUAGCUAUGAAGCGUGAAAACAGCGAGGUUUGAUCCCUGCAGUCCGGCCAUCGGGGAGCGUCAGACAGGAAAUGAGACCUAAAGAAGAAAGGAGGUCUGGAGGAGCAGCAUCUUCCUCCUCCUCCUCCUCCUCUUUGUGCUGGCAGCGUCACGCCUCCAGGCCACGUGCCUCCUCCACACACAAGGCCCUACAACGAGACUGAGGAAGCCCCGCCCCCAGCCCUCACGUUCCACCACCCAUCAGUGUGACGUCACACUGACAGGAAGUCCCGCCCCCUCUCAGCCAGUAGCCAGCAGGAGAUCCUGUUUCUCUGCUAGUAUUUGGGACGAUUCCUGUCUUUCUCUGGUUUGAAUAUAUAUUUACAUUAGAUCACUUUUAACCAAAAACAAUAAAAGAUUUUAAUCCUUAUUUAGGAAUAAACUUUAUACAGUAAGGACAAUCUCACAGUGCACCAAGAAAGAUAUGUUACAGUAAAGACAAAAUGUAAUAAAGUUACUAUCUUCUGUGGA